CCCACACCCCCGCCCCCUGCCCUUCCCGAGGGCAGCAGCCGCGGCCCGGAGAUAAGCGCUAGCGCGGCGCAGGGCUCUGCCUGGGCUAGUGGCACCGACUUGGAGUGGAUCUUCAGCUGCCUGGGCCUUCUAAGUGUGAGGACUCGCUUAUAGUAGCCGCAGAAGGCUGUGCAUGAUCCCGCCCCUCCCCUCCUCCCCUGCAGGGACCUGGUGAGAACGUAAGGCCCUCAGUUAGGGGGCCUGCUCAUUGGGGGUGUCCAAAUCAGAAGGGCAAUAAAAGAGGAGGAGACCUAAUCCCUUGGAAGUGAGCCGUGGCCUAUGCUAGGGGCAGUAUUCCAACAAAGUUCUGUUUGUGGUAGAGCUGGGAAAGAACCUCUCUGUCAACUGUCCCAACUCUGACCUAAGCCACAAGCUGGAAAGUGAGAACCCAAAGUGAAAAAACCUGCUUCUCUUGGGUAUGUGGGUGGGGGAUAGGACCAAAGGCUGGUACCCAAAAAGCACUCUCCAUUUCCCCAAGAAUUCAGACCGCUAAUACAUUGUCUUCUGCUCCCCUUAUGCACCCUUUCCCAUCCCAGCAGUGCCAAGUAUUUCACACUGAACCCUCCUGAUAACCUAGAAAGGACCUGGAAGUUUUGCCAAACCGCUGCCAAACUACCCUCUGCCCCAACCAAAGUUUCUGCAGAGACUUUGACUCAAAGAUGAGAAGGGGCCCCCUUCAGAACUCUCCGAACAGUCUGGAGCAAAUCGAAACUCCGAGGCCAUAAAUCAAUGGGAGAAGUAUUUGGUACUGCUUCAGAGAAAUGCCUUAACGCCAGCAAGGCCCCAGCAGCGGCAUCUCAGUUCUAGCCAGGAGCCUCCAUGCCGCUAUUAACAGCCCAGUUAAUGCUCCAACUGCUGCUUAACAAUUAACAUUAACGACUUGGGUUGGAAUGGGGUGAUUUGGUGGGAUGUGAAGGGAAAAAUCUGAGGGAGUCACAGGAAAUGUAACUUUUGAGGUGAAAAUAGCUUCCCUAAGAGAGACCUGGGUCUGGGCAGGCCACCAGGGAACAGGCAGCUGAGAGUCCUCCCUCACCACUCUGAAAUCCACUCUCCUUGAGUGAGGCUAUGGGCCUUUUAAAGUUCCCUUCCAGAAAACAAGAAUCGGGAUGCCAAGCAUGUAGGCCCAGGCUGGGAAACCUAGCUGCCAGUCCCCUUCUUUCCACUUACUCUUCCAGGCCCCAAUCUGACCAGUGCUGGGGACACAUGUCCUGAAUCCAUUUCACAAGAACCAAAAUAGGUGGAAAGUUGCCUUGGAAGGAGCAGGUGAGCAAGGAUACAGAGCUUUGGUCAAUAUUUGCAAGGCUGUUGGCAGAUUAGAUAUAUCUGUAUUCAAACACUGCAAUCUGAUUUCUCUGUCAAAAAUACACUUCACAUUUUUUCCCCUUUAGUUAACUGUAGUGGUUUUGUUACUUAGCAUCAGGUAAGGCCUGCUUAGCACCCCCACUUUUUGGUGGAGGUUAGAGAUCAUUAUUUAACGUGAGAUAUUUUCUGUGGGUUCAGGUGCAGUACAAAUGGGCUCCAAAUUCUCUGGAUACAUACGGAUCUGUAUAUCAUUUUAUACACAUGGUCUAAAACUCCUGCAACUGUGUAUCCGUGCCAUGGUUCUGUUGUGCACAGAGAUGCAAAUCAUAGGCACACCCUGAGUUGCAAAUUCCUGAAACACUCCACCUACCUACACUUGAUAUAAAUGGUCAUACAGUAGCUGAGACAGUAACCCAGCUUUACUAUUACCCUGUUUACUUUCCAUCUGAUAAAAUAAUAAUUGUAUCCAGAACACCAGAUAAGCCUUCAGUAUUGCUGAAUAGCAUGUUGCAAUUAAUGAACAGCCUGCUGUCUAUUGGGGAGCAAAUUUUAGGGAAGACAGAGGCCUAGGGGAAUAGAAAACAGGAACUCAGAAAACUUCUUAAAAUAAAUAAUUCCUGAAAGAACAAAGCAAACCCAUUCCUUCAUACCAAGCUUCUGAAAGCUAUUCCGGCAGCCCCUCCCCCAAAUAGGCACGAAAUUUAUGGAUCUUUUACAAGUAGGAAAAGAAAACGCAGAGACCUGGAAGACCCGUGCUUUUCCCGUUGGAAGAACAGAGGAUCAGCCCGGCCAAAGGAACAGAGAAGACCCCGUUGUCUGCAUUGGAAAGGUAGUAAGUUUCCUCUCGCCAAGGAAAGGCAGAAGAGUAAGACAAACUGCAUAGCGGCGAGACAAGUUUCCUCCGCGCAGAUCUGUGCCUGACGGCCAUUCUCGAACUCACAG
This is a long non-coding RNA of Mustela erminea (ermine), 2283 nucleotides long. RefSeq lists it as uncharacterized. The transcript is spliced from 3 exons. NCBI's taxonomy places the organism in Eukaryota, Metazoa, Chordata, Mammalia, Carnivora, Mustelidae. The record is from RefSeq and is a predicted model, not a curated record.